This 149-nucleotide microRNA precursor is filed under the name Oryza sativa Indica Group (long-grained rice). RNAcentral's name for it is "osa-MIR1856". Lineage: Eukaryota; Viridiplantae; Streptophyta; Magnoliopsida; Poales; Poaceae. The record is from RNAcentral.
AGAGCACUGCUAUGCGUAAGACGGAUUCGUACUACCUGCGUCCGACCAUAUCAUGUGUAUCUAUCACCGUCUUUAGCUUCUCUCCACCAAUGCAAGCAGCAUUCGGAUACAUGUCGUACGAAUCCGUCGGACGCAUAGCUAUUUCCUUU